Non-coding RNA from Phoenix dactylifera (date palm), 5522 nucleotides. The record is from RefSeq and is a predicted model, not a curated record. NCBI's taxonomy places the organism in Eukaryota, Viridiplantae, Streptophyta, Magnoliopsida, Arecales, Arecaceae.
UUCUUGUUAAUUAGUCCCAAUGGCUUGAUUUUUCCGGAAAGAUUGGAACUUUUGGGAUUUUAAAUGGGUUUAUAGGGAUUUUAACGAAUCAUAUAUUUAUAAGCUUAAAUGAUGAUGAAGAAGAAAAAAAGUUCAUAGUCUUUUCAUUGGAUCAAUCAAAUUAAACAAUGAGUGGAAGAAAGGAAUGCCCUUCUUCGGUACCUGCCGUUUUCUUCUUUCUCUAACGUUUCUUUGUUUUCUAAAACCUUCUAAUGCUUAUAAUGUUAUCCUCUACCUUCGAAAAUCUUAUAUUUUAUCAUCAUUCUUAUGUUGUGGCUAUCUUCAUACUCAGCGUGAUCCAUGUUGUCCUAAAAAAAUCAAGAUUAACAGAUUAGUGAGUAAAAUUUUUAUGUCCCAUUGAUGAGGCUUCAAAAUUUUUUCAAAAAGUUUAGUGCAAUUUUCAAAGCUUAUAUUUUAAGGCAGCACUUUUAAUGACCUUAAUAAUAGCUCGAAAGAUCUUAACAGAUAGAUUUGGCUCUUAGAGAUCGCCUACUAGAAAAAUUUUUAAAGAAAACCUAGAUAACCAUGAUUUAGACUUUAGAAACCAUAUUUUAGCGACUAGGAUUUCUUUUUCAAACGAGGAUUUAGAAUGUAGAGCAGGGAACAUGGAGUUUUAGUUAAUGAGUGAAAAAAUACCAUUGACAAUUUCAUGUAUGCCAUUUCAAUUGGACUCUGGAUCUUCAUUUUGUAUCUAUUUGUAAUCCAUAAAUUUCACAUUGACGUUGCUUGUGUUUAAUCACUUCAAGUUUUUUUUUUUUCUCACAAACACUAAAACCUAUUCAGUAUAUCGGAUAUGUGACUAAGAUAUUAUCUUUUAUAUAAAAUUUAAUCCAUAUUUUAUUUUUUUUUAAAAUAUUUUUAUAUUUGUUUAAUUUUCUCUUUCCUGCACCAUAAGGUUUUCGUGCUUAUACAUAUUAAUCAUAUACUCAAAUUCAUUUUCUAUUCGAAUAAAUUUAUUCAGAUUCAAAAAUUGGUAUGGAUGAAUAUUAUCUGGUUCACUCUCACCCUUACAUCUUAACUAUUCUUCUAAUCUUAACUAUCUUCUUCUCUGUCUCUCUCUCCCUCCCCGAUCGAACGAGUUUAAUUAGUUGCCACUGCUACAGAUCACAAGUUCUCAAUCCAUGACUUAAUGGGAGAUGUGCUAGGGUUCAGGAGAUUGACACCCCAUGUAUCACACAAUUCAUGGAUGAAUCGUGAAUUCCACGCAACAUUUUAUCUAACAAAUUUCUUAUCAUGCCUUAUUGCCAUGCACCCAAACCCAAAAUUUUUUGUCGACCAAAAUCUUUAUCAAAUAUAUGGAUAAGAGCCACUGAGGUGGCAGCUUAGUGGGAGCGUGGCUUUACUUCCAACCAAAUGGUUUCAAGUUCGAAACGCUCGGACGUCGAUUAAAUUGUGGAGACCGGAUGCUCCCUGCUCGGACAUGGGUCUGAAGGAGCGUAUCGCUCUGCUAGUAGCCUCGGUGGUGUCAGGUGUGACAUACUCAUGCGUGGUAUUCGUGCCGGAGUCCAGAGGGAUAACCGAGCCGGACCCACGGAUGGGGAUGGUAUGAGUAAAACCGUAAGGAGGCUUGCCAAGCAUAAGGGAAGUUGGCAAGGGUGGAAUAUAUAUAUAUAUAUAUACAAAUAGGAUAACCAACACAUACUUUGGAAAAAGUUUGGAUCCUCUUCGAUCCUGAAAUGGAUUGGAGAGGUCCAGUCUUGGCUAUUUGUUAGAUAAUAACUAUGAUUAAAUGGAAUAUGACAUAAGAUAUUAUAUAGGGUUCAUUCAAUUAUAAUCGUCGUGCAAAACAUAGAUUUUCAUGAUUUGAAGAUUAGAGAUAGGUGCUUGUCUUAAAAAGUUUGAGUUCAUAUCCCCUCUAACUCGUGUUAAAUUGGAGAGAUGACUUCUUAAUCAUAGUUAUUUGCACAUUAUCCACAAUGACCACUCAACUUAUCUCAAUUCAGUCUUAGUCCUAAAUUAGUUGGGGUCAACUCUUUUCCUCAUUUCCAUUUUGUUUAAGGACUAUACUUUUUCUAAAAGAUGUAGCGAUAGUAAAUCCUUCCUUAUUGCUUUAUUCAAUGUAAUUUUCGAUCUAUCUGUAUCAUUUUUUUUCUUCUGCAUGUAUUAAAUUUCUCUUAUGAUUCUUAACUAAAAUCUUUUGAUUCUAAUGCACUCCAUAAUUUUAAUUUACGAUUAACUCCAACCUUAGUUUUAUCUGCUAAGAUUAUAUUAUCUAUAAAUAGCAUGCAACAAGAACUAUCAUCCUAAAUAUUCCAAGUAAGUUCAUUCAUAACUAACACAAAAUGUACUGAUUUUGAGCGGAUCCUUAAUGUAAAUCUAUUAUGGUUGGACAUUCACUAGUAUCAUCAUCGAUAGUUUUCACUAAUAACUUUUUGGUUACAUUAGUUUAACUAUGAUAAACUCCUUUCUUUUUUUAUCACUUACUAGUCACUAUAAGACUUCUUUAAAAACUGUAUAAUAUGCUUUCUCCAAAUCAGUAAAAACCAUAUAAAGAUUUUUUUUCUCUAAAUAUCUUCAUUAACCUUUGAAGGAGAAAAAAUAAAUUCUAUACUCAGUUUUCUUGUCAUAAAACCAAAUUAGUUCUCGAACAUCUUUGUUUUACACCUUAAUUACCAUGCUUAAUCAUCCUCUUUCAAUAUUUUAUAGUAUGUUUUAAUACUACAGUAGUUAGAACAAUUUAGAAUAUUAUUUUUAUUUUUAUAAAUUAGUACUAUGGUGCUUUUCUAUAUUCAUCGGACAUUUUUCUAGUUUUUUAAAUUUUAUUAAAUAAAUUAGUUGGCUAAGUUAUUUCUGCAGCAGCUCACACCAUCUUUUUUUUUUUUUUUUGCUAGCCUCUUCUCCUUUUUUUUUUUUGCGCAAAACCUUAUUUUGACUUUGAUACUUUGUAUGGAUAUUUAAGAUUUCUAGUUUCAAUUUAUCCUUAGUUGGUGUUACCUCUAUCUUUUUUACCGAUAGCUUUAUUUCUUGUUCCAUAUUCUGUUGUACCAUCAUACAUUUAUCUUAACAUUCUCAUUUCAACAACACUCAUUUUAUGCAUAUAUUAUUUUCUAAUUAUCCAAAAUUUUAUACCAUAAAGCAUAGCCAAUCAUGUUACUAUCCUAUAAAAUUUUUUGUUCAAUAGUAUGUAUUCUAUAUAUGAUCACAUAAUAUAUAUGAGUUGUACUUCUCCAUUUCAUCUAUCCUACUUUUUUUCUAUUAAUAACAUGUUCUUCAAUCUCUUAUUUUUUUUAUAAAAAAUCAAGUUUUAUGAUUCUUAAGUUUUACUCUAUCAUCUUCUCUAUUUUUAAAUUUACUAAAACUACAUUGUACGCCUAACAUCUUGGUCCUAAUUAUUCUGGAAUCUUUUGAUUCUUCGAUAAUUCUGAUUUACACCUUAGUUUUCUCCCCCAAAACUAUAUCAUUCGUAAAAAGCGUGCAGUAAAAAAUAUCGUCAUGAAUAUGCCGGGUAUUCUCAGUCACCCUCUUCUUGAAUUCUAUAUCAUAGCUUAUAAAUUUAGUACUAUAGUAAUUAGAAUAAUUUUGAAUAUUAUAUUUAUUUUUUUACAUCGGUGCUAUGGCACUCUUCUUCCUUCAUUAGAUAUUUUCUUAAUUUUUAAAAUUUUAUUUAUUGUAACUUAAUAAUGUGCAUACUACAUCGUGAUGAUGAAAUUCUGUACAUGUACCGCCAUGCAUGGAUGGGAACCGUCAUCGGUGACGCAGUGGAACGCAAUGGAACCGUGCGACGCGAAUCGGACGCUGAAAUAACGCGAAAGGACCGCGGGAUAGGUAUACGUGUCGACGGAUUAAUACCCAUCGCUGCCUGCAUUCGGUACACGGCGUCCUAACCCACCGCGGGAUAGGCGAAUUAGCGGUUUGCUUCCGGUCUAAUAAAAAUUUCUGCCGGGGUAACCUCGCCUCCCGUUCGCGUCCAACGUCUCUCGUCUCUCUGAGCGCCGGUACCAAUUCCCCCUUCCCCAGGUUGAAGACUCCGGAGGCACAAAUCGACGACGGCGUGCCCUCCGAUAUGCAUAGCGGCCGCCGGCGACGUAGAAGAUGGAAAGAAAGGUCCGUUGGAAAGAGGAGAAAUUAUUUUUUUGUGGCGGUGAGAAGAUAGAAAGAAAGAUCCGAGAAAAAAUUAUCUUACACAAGCAUCAAGUGGGGGUGCAUGAUCCAUUCAUGGCCGUUCGUUUUUGUGGUGCCGCAUCGAAAAUAAGCGCUCGAUGAAUGAAUCUGCGGCGGUGCCAGCCGCCUGUUUUUAUGGCGGGGCGGCGGUGCCAGCCGCCUGUUUUUAUGGCGGGGCGGCGGUACCAGCCGUGGGGCAUCAAGACAAGUUCUCCCGACCCUUCGAUCGCGUUUCGCGCUCAAAGUCGAUUGCGGGCCCCACUCAAAGUAAGUCGGUCGUUCGUUCUUUCGUUCGACCUUCGCUUCUCAAUCAGUGCUUUGACUUUUGGGUACUCGCACCUGCGUGCACGACAAGCAACGCUACGUCUACCCCGAGGUGCGAUUCACGAAUAAAGUCGGUCGUCGCGUGCAGGCAAAGAAAAUGUGGCCUGUCCUUUUUUGUCUAUUUUGAAUCCUUAUCUCUUCGGCGAGGACGUCAUUCGUGAAGUCACGCUGGAGCACUCGCGAUACGAGAGGCGGGUGUUCGCUCGCCGAAACGAACCAAUCAGGAGGGACCAGGCCUUAAAUAUCGCCGAAUGCUUGAGAAAGAUCCAUGGGAACGGAGCCUCCGAGGCUUCGUUGUUAUUCGACCUUCUCGGUGUGUGUGGGCGAGUCCGCGCAUUCUAUCGUUUUCAAACUUCGAAUAACGUUUCAGUCGGCAGGGUUGCUUUUAAUAUUGUUGCGGUCACACUCCGGUGAGUUACCGACUCAGGCCUAAAUAAACAAACUUUCUUAUAUCAUAAUUCUUUUUAAAAGAAACUUCCUUAGUCUUCUGCUCAUAAAUCUAUAAUAUUUAAAAUAUUUUAUUUUUAAAUUUUUUUUUGUUGUUUACUGUAUGUAAGUUGAUGAUAAUGAUUAUGGAUUUACCGAGUAUGGUACUGACCGAAAUUAAGUUUUUUCCACUAACGUCGCAUGAGUAUAGCCAGUGCAAUCAAGAAUAAAAAAAUAUUUAAAAAAGUCAAGGUUAUUAUGUACUAUCUCAAGUGUUGUUACUUUCGAGCUAACUUCUUGUGUAAGAAAUUUUUAGAAAGCUACCCCGGUUCUUUUCGCUGUCCGUUGUCUGUAGGGUCAUUUUGUGAUGGUAUUAAAGAUAGAGGAGUGAUGUGAGGCUGAACUCUCUAGUUCAGAACAUUUGGUGUCUUGUUGAUGGUUGUUCAAUUUUUAUGACGAAAUAUAUUUAUAGAUAGAUAAAUAGUAUGGCAAAUUGAAUAGUCUCACAUAUCUUUGAUUCUUUCAAAAGCUUUCUCAGUCUUCGGCUCAUGUAUCUAUAAUAUUUAGAAGUAUUUUAUCUUUUGAUUUUUCCGGUUGCGAAUUUAGUAUCCGUGUCGACAAUAUUGAUUACA